AUUGAACGCUGGCGGCAGGCCUAACACAUGCAAGUCGAACGAGUGGCGGACGGGUGAGUAAUGCCUGGGAAACUGCCUGAUGGCGGGGGAUAACUACUGGAAACGGUAGCUAAUACCGCAUACCAUCAGAUGUGCCCAGAUGGGAUUAGCUAGUUGGUGGGGUAACGGCUCACAAAGGCGACGCUCCCUAGCUGGUCUGAUAGGAAGACCAGCCACACUGGAACUGAGACACGGGCCAGACUCCGACGGGAGGCAGCAGUGGGGAAUAUUGCACAAUGGGCGCAAGCCUGAGGCAGCCAUGCGGGGUGUAUGAAGAAGGCCUUCGGGUUGUAAAGUACUUUCAGCGGGGAGGCGUUACCCGCAGAAGAAGAACCGGCUAACUCCGUGCCAGCAGCCGCGGUAAUUC
Molecule: ribosomal RNA, 406 nt
Filed under: uncultured bacterium
Lineage: Bacteria
Description: partial 16S ribosomal RNA
Rfam family: Bacterial small subunit ribosomal RNA
Source: RNAcentral